UCCACCCGAUGCCCCCAUCUAUCUCGCCUUCUCUUUUUUCGCCGUCGCCGCCUUCGCCGGCUGGUUCCGACGAAAUCCGGCGGUCUCAGCGAUCGUGCUGGCUACCAAUCUCCUCCUCUCCUCGCGCUCUGUAUGCUCCACUGCAUUGAUUCGUCGAUCCCACCCUCCCGUGCUUGCCCGCAUCGGUUUUACCCGUCUAUGGUUUCGGUGUACUCGACCUCCUCGUCGCUGGUGAUGCUCCGGCGUCUUGGUCCGGUCGUCUCCGUCUCCUGCUGCACUCUCUUUUGCUGUUGUGCCUCCUUAAUGGCGCGGUGCUCUCUCCUCUCUGAGCUCCGCCGUAUUCUUUGUGCGUGGCAGCUGAUGCAGCUCUGCCUCCAUGGCUCCAUCCCCACGCUUGUAGCAGUGGCCCAAGGAGGAGCUUCAUACUCGGCAUGUGGAGCUCGAGACGCGGCGGUGGUCCAUGGCAUCAAGACCAUCCGUCUUCCUCUGCAGAAGCAGCGCUAGCCACAGAGAUGCCUGGCUCCAUCCUGCUCUCAUGUCGCAGUUCUUCUGCCCGACGAAGAAGAGAGGCGAAUAGGAGAAGCACGAUGCAAAUGUUGUUUCUCUAUGCCUACAAGGUGUUCGAAGAAAUUCCAAGACUAACAGGGAGUUUUUGUAUCAGAACAUGUAUUUGUAGGUGUUAUGUCAAUAGACCUAAAAUGUAGGCUACCUAUGUUGAUUAUAGUAAGGGUUUGUUUCCUUGUAUGUUGAUUUAGAUGUUUUUUUUUUUCAAUGUCUUUGAGUAAGCCUGUCAUGCCAUUGUUUUACUUUAGAUUUUUCAAGUUUGCCAUAUACCACUUUGUGAGCUAAGAAAUACUUAUAGUUGACUCAGCCAAGAAAUACUUAUAGUUGAAUAUGGUUUGAUAAGCUCCUUGUUUGACCCUGAAUCCUCCAGAUAAACUCGAGCAAUCAUACUACAACAUUUCUUCAACUGCAAUUAAAGUCGAAAGAUGGUUUGUAAAUGUUCCAUGGUUGCUUACUUUAAAACUUUUCUCACAUAAGUAUGUAUUUGGACAGAUCAUAAUGUCCGGUGUGUAGUGAUGCUUGAGAAAACAUCUGCUUUUAGCCCUGGGACUCAUGCUUCAGCAUAUGUUCCAUCACGUGAUAAUUAUACACUUGGUACAACAACAAAUUAAGAAAUAAGUACAAGUCGACGAUCAGAGAUUCACGUAUAAACUUGUAGGACAAGUGAUGAGGAGGGGAAGCGGCUGCGAUCAAGCCACCGGUGUUGGGUCGACGGUGUCGUGCCUCUGCGACCGGGAUCAGGCAAGGUAGAUGGGAAGAAGUGGCGUCCCUCUCCCUGAGCUCCAGAUCCAUGGCAGCAGCAGCAGCGAGGAUACUUUGAUGCGAGGGACCAAAAUGAAGAGUGGAUCUGUAUAGCAGUGAAGGAAGGGGGCAUGAUUGUUUUGCCUGCAGGAAUGUAUAACGGAUUCACGUUGGAUAAUGACAACUACAUCAAAGCUGCCCUACACAUACUGGAAAUAGGAGAAUGAAAGGGGUGUGAAGCUCGCCGUCGACACGCAUCAGCUUUGUGUGCGCCGCCGGCGGUCAACCACUCGGCAUCCAACCAGUGCGAUGAAGAAGACCAUCUAGAGUACAUACGCGGAGCACCUGGUGAGCUUGAGGAACAUUGUUGUUGGGGCAAUGAGGUUAAGCUCUAUGAGCACCAUGUAGAUGCCCUGUUUGUCAUGUUCUGGCGCAAAAAAACCAAACAUCAAGUACUAUGUAUGCACCAUCAUACAAGACAUUUGCCAAGCCAGGCCAGUGAAUCGUAACUUCAAAACACAUUAUUUCUUGCAUAUUGCAUGACAUUGUACAUCCCUCUCAAUUCCUUCCUUUCUCCUGCAAGUAUUUUCAGGUCCACUACACCAAAGAGAAUCCGAUGGACUACAUUAACCUGGAUGAUGAUACACUGAAGAUCAGGCUUGCUGACGGCAAUGUGCAUGAUGAUUAUCGCAUCAUGCUGGGAACUGACAAGAGGGCCACCAUCACCUGCCACCGUGCACACAUCCGCGAAGGAGACAUCUGCGCCUUCCGCUUCAAGGUCACCGAAAAUGCCGCCUUUCUCUCACCGUGCCAUCGCCUCUAGACGCAUUAUCGACAAUGACAGAAGUCGCGUAUGAAUAUGAUCCAUCCAUGUACGGAGCUUAUGACGUACUGAACCUUGCUUAUUUUGGAUGUUGCAACAUGGUGCUUUUGAACAGAUAGCAUAUAUGUUGUCAGGCAUGUAACCACUAAGAUCGCCACUCAUCAGCUUUAACUGCACCUUUUUAUAUCUGUAAUGCGACUCUUAUCGAUGUCUGUUUAUUUC
Triticum dicoccoides is the source of this 2350-nucleotide long non-coding RNA. RefSeq lists it as uncharacterized. The record is from RefSeq and is a predicted model, not a curated record. Lineage: Eukaryota; Viridiplantae; Streptophyta; Magnoliopsida; Poales; Poaceae. The transcript has 8 exons.